Long non-coding RNA from Fukomys damarensis (Damara mole-rat), 309 nucleotides. RefSeq lists it as uncharacterized. The transcript has 3 exons. The record is from RefSeq and is a predicted model, not a curated record. NCBI's taxonomy places the organism in Eukaryota, Metazoa, Chordata, Mammalia, Rodentia, Bathyergidae.
CACCAUCCCAUCUGGUGGCCCUGCACCCUAGGUUACAGAUAACCUCUGCAGGAACAACGGUGUUCUUCUUUCCCGUGAAUAAUUUGGAAUUUUUUUAAUGUGUUCCCUAAAGCCAAGGAACUGGAAACUACCAAAAUCUGAGGUACCGGGAACUGGUCUUCUGUGAUCUGCCCUUUGAUGGAUAAGGACAACACCUGAGCACCCUUCAGCCCCUCCUGCUUUGCAGUAACUUGACUCUCUGAGAACUCAGUCAUUGAAAUACCCAGGAUAAUGGACAAAGGGGAUCUCCUACAUGAUGUAAUUUCACAC